GACGAACGCUGGCGGCGUGCUUAACACAUGCAAGUCGAGCGGUAAGGCCCUUUCGGGGGUACACGAGCGGCGAACGGGUGAGUAACACGUGGGUGACCUGCCCUCAGCUCUGGGAUAAGCCUGGGAAACUGGGUCUAAUACCGGAUAUGACUCCAUGACGCAUGUUGUGGGGUGGAAAGCCUUGUGCGGCUGAGGAUGGGCCCGCGGCCUAUCAGCUUGUUGGUGGGGUGANGGCCUACCAAGGCGACGACGGGUAGCCGGCCUGAGAGGGCGACCGGCCACACUGGGACUGAGACACGGCCCAGACUCCUACGGGAGGCGGCAGUGGGGAAUCUUGCGCAAUGGGCGAAAGCCUGACGCAGCGACGCCGCGUGA
Molecule: ribosomal RNA, 375 nt
Filed under: uncultured bacterium
Lineage: Bacteria
Description: bacterial SSU rRNA
Rfam family: Bacterial small subunit ribosomal RNA
Source: RNAcentral